RNAcentral lists this ribosomal RNA (253 nucleotides) under uncultured bacterium. Its description in RNAcentral is "partial 16S ribosomal RNA". It matches the Rfam family "Bacterial small subunit ribosomal RNA", at positions 524 to 776 of the family's 1533-position model. The record is from RNAcentral.
UACGUAGGGUGCAAGCGUUGUCCGGAAUCAUUGGGCGUAAAGCGCGCGUAGGCGGCCCUGUAAGUCCGUUGUGAAAGUCGAAGGAUCAACCUUCGAAAGCCGAUGGAUACUGCAGGGCUAGAGUCCGGAAGAGGCGAGUGGAAUUCCUGGUGUAGCGGUGGAAUGCGCAGAUAUCAGGAGGAACACCAAUAGCGAAGGCAGCUCGCUGGGACGGUACUGACGCUAAGGCGCGAAAGCGUGGGGAGCGAACAGG